GGGCCUACGGGGGGCAGCAGUGAGGAAUAUUGGUCAAUGGGCUUACGCCUGAACCAGCCAAGUCGCGUGAGGGAUUAAGGCCCUGCGGGUCGUAAACCUCUUUUGCCGGGGAGCAGAGGUCCGGACGUGUCCGGGCCGGGAGAGUACCCGGAGAAAAAGCAUCGGCUAACUCCGUGCCAGCAGCCGCGGUAAUACGGAGGAUGCGAGCGUUAUCCGGAUUUAUUGGGUUUAAAGGGUGCGUAGGCGGGCAUUUAAGCCGGCGGUCAAAUGUCGGGGCCCAACCCCGGCCUGCCGUCGGAACUGGG
RNAcentral lists this ribosomal RNA (305 nucleotides) under uncultured bacterium. RNAcentral describes it as "bacterial SSU rRNA". It matches the Rfam family "Bacterial small subunit ribosomal RNA", at positions 335 to 637 of the family's 1533-position model. The record is from RNAcentral.